AGAACGAACGCUGGCGGCAUGCCUAACACAUGCAAGUCGAACGUGAUCCAGGCUUCGGCCUGGUGAAAGUGGCAGACGGGUGAGUAACGCGUGGGAACCUGCCCUGUGGUAGGGAAUAACCGUGGGAAACUGCGGCUAAUACCCUAUGAGUCCUUCGGGAGAAAGAUUUAUCGCCAUAGGAGGGGCCCGCGUCGGAUUAGGUAGUUGGUGGGGUAACGGCCUACCAAGCCUUCGAUCCGUAGCUGGUCUGAGAGGAUGAUCAGCCACACUGGGACUGAGAUACGGCCCAGACUCCUACGGGAGGCAGCAGUGGGGAAUAUUGGACAAUGGGGGCAACCCUGAUCCAGCAAUGCCGCGUGGAUGAUGAAGGCCUUCGGGUUGUAAAGUCCGUUUCGGCGGGGAAGAUGAUGACGGUACCGCAGAAGAACGCCCGGACUACGUUCGCGCCAGCAGCCGC
Molecule: ribosomal RNA, 457 nt
Filed under: uncultured bacterium
Lineage: Bacteria
Description: SSU rRNA
Rfam family: Bacterial small subunit ribosomal RNA
Source: RNAcentral